UCAUUGUUUAUUUAUAUUCCCUCUUAACAAUAGCUAAAUGUUCAACACACUUGUGCCUGUGGAGUGCAACUCUAUUCAUCACGACUUGCAACUUCUAAUCCAUUACCAUCCGGAUCAAAGAAGAAGACCUGCCUAAUUGCACGACCAGGAACAGACCUUUGGAAAGUUUCAAUUCCCUUAUCCUUGAGAGUUUGGACGAAGGAAUCGAAAUUGGAAACGGAGAAGCAGAUAUGAUGGCCUCUGGGGAGAUGACUGGGAUCAAGAACCGGUGAGGCAGCGCUGUAGGGCCCUUCUGGAAGCUUCGUGGUGGGGCUUC
RNAcentral lists this unclassified non-coding RNA (316 nucleotides) under Hevea brasiliensis (rubber tree). The record is from RNAcentral. Lineage: Eukaryota; Viridiplantae; Streptophyta; Magnoliopsida; Malpighiales; Euphorbiaceae.